UCCGUUCUUCCAGUGUGAAGAAUCAGGCAUGACUUUCGGGUACAGAGCCUUGGUUUUACUUCCAUCUAGACUUUCAGAACACACAAUCUGUAGCAGGAAUAAUACCAUGGGUGUGAAUUAUUUUAUGUACGGACUCUUGAACUUUAACUGAUUUGAUCAUGAGAUGAAGCUUGGAGACAGAUUGCCAUUCUAUUUUGUGCCCAGUUUUGUCCUUCCCCAUAGGAAAAAAGACUUUCUUUGAUGUCUCUAAUAUUGUUCUAAUUAUUUAAAUGUCUUCAUUUUGGAGUAUUAUAUGUGGAAAAUACAAGCAGAAAUUUGGACAUCAGCUUUUGUUGUCUCUUUAGUCACGGAAGUAUACAUGCUAGGGACCACUACUAGGAAGGAUAAACUAAUCCACAAUGCACCAUUAGUUCACUCCUGCCUGUGGUCAGCUUCUAUUUUCACACUAGAGAAAGUUUCUCUUUAAAACAAACAAAUGCAAAUUAAACUCAUAACCUCGAGUGGCUGGCAAUUGCUCUCCUGUUCCACAAAGGGGCGCUAUAGAGUUUUACAAGUUGCCCUUUUAUGGGCAGAAAGGAAACCAUAAUACAAAUGAUCAUGAUUAGUCAAUGCUUUGGUUUCUCAUAAAUGAGCACUUAGUGUCUAUUUCUUAAAUGAAGGUAAGGGGGAAAGUUCUCACCACAGAGAUGAGCAUGUGGAUUUGAUCAAGUCACUCCCAAAGUGUUGCCUUCACCUGCCGAAUGAUGCCAAAUGAGUCUGAAUGUUUUGGAGGUUUAAAAUAAGCCUUGAGAAAAAUUUAAAAUGUACAUGGUGCAAUCCGAGAAAUGCUCUCUUAAGUUUCGCAGUUAUAAAUCUGGAAGAGUUGUUUGGGUCAUUAGAUUACUUUUAGGCAAUCCAAAAUCUCUAAAAUCCCAUUAAACUGUAGUCCCUUCUAACGUAACACUUUGUACUGAGGCUAACGGGAGAUCACGAGAUACUGAGCCACCCGUGCAGUCCGAGACUCGUAUGAAGAUAACCACCCGGGCUAUUUGGUAUUGCGUAUGAAGCAAGUGACUAACUUAUUGAUUUCAUUUUAAAUAUUUGUUACCACUAAGGAGUUUACAGAUGUAUUUGGGUCUGCAUUUUUAACCUGUAUUUUUUUCUUCUUUGAGGGUGGAUGAUUACCCUGUAAGAGAGAGAAAUCUAGGGACCAGUGAGGUGGCCCAGCAGGUAAACUGCUUGCCACCAGCUCUUAUGGCCUGAGCUGAAUUUCCCAGGACUCACACAGUAGAGGAGAGAACUGCCUCCCUCAAGGUGUUCUCUGACUUCCACACGUACACCAUGACACACACACAUACUCCACAAAUAAAUACACAUCUUAAAAAAGCGUUAGGCAAUUUUGAAAAGAAAGGGGGAAAUGCUGCCUUGUACAAAGCACACUUUCAUCUAUGUGUAUUGCUUCCGAGGACGAGAUACAUCUAUGACAUUUUGCUCUUUCUUUCAUUGCCUGUUGGCAAAACCACCCACUGGCGAUGGAGGUACAUGGCAUAUUUGCUAAGAGACGAAGACAAGAGAAAACUUACUGUUCCGGGCAGUAGUGUAAAUAGUCCACAAGUUCUGAGUCUGUGAUGUGUAAACCAGAAUCAGGAUCCUCCAUGACAUGUAGUAAGCCCAAGGCAUAAGAAGGCGAGGCCAAAGAAGGUCAAUAAGAUCUUCAGAGAGCCGAGGUGGUAGAAAUAGAAUAGUUUAGGCAAGGCAUGGAUUUUGUAGGGACUCUUGAGAGACCCACAGAAACGUCAGGAGAGCCAGGUCGCCGACACGAAGUCCUCACCGCUGUCCCCGCAGAAACUCUACUGCCAGACCUACUCCCGCCUUCAUAGUGUAGCUUCCAUGCUGUGUGCAGCUCAAACUGAGGGCAUUCAGGUCUGGCCCCCAGAACUUAAACCAUUUCUUGCUUCAAGGAGGCCUUAUAGCUCUUCGUCUUCUUUGCCCCAACCAGAGAAAUAAAACAACAAAAUCUCCAUCUUUUUGUGCUCCCCCAUGAAGUGGAUUUCUGCAUGAGCAUAUCGGAUUGGUGCCUACGUGUCUGCUUCCAUGCGUGAAGCCUAGGUGGGAAACUUAGCUCUUAGAGGGGGGUUUCCAGUCAGAGGAAGGAUCGUGAGAAGAUAGUGAGCAAAUGUAACAAAAAGCCUCUGCUGGCUGUCUACGAGGGUGAAGAGAAAACCAUUUAACUAAACAAGUAAAAGCACUGUCAAGGAGUCAGGUUGUUAAAGGUUGGUGGAAAGAACUGUCACAAUUUCAGGAGCCAUUAUUACUUCCAGAGACGCGACAACAAUUCUUGCUUUCAGAGCUGAGGAUAUGAUAGACCUCAUCCAGCAGCGUCCCCUCCCCAGCCUGAGAAUGUGUUUGCUCUUCUCUUUCCUAUGUUCAUAAAAUCUGGACAGCCUCUGCCUAAGUCAUAUGGUUGCCAUGGGUUCACACUUCAUUCACCUCAUUUUGUAGUCUACAGCCUUCAUCAGGAUACAAGAACAUUUCCCAGCAGAGCACAGGACACGAGACACGCGGGACUGGAGACUCUCUGGUACGCACGGGGCCUGAUAGGAUGUGGUCUGUUCAUUCUUACUCAUUCUUUCCUGAAAUUCUGUGGAUGGAGGUAUUGUGUUAUGAAUGGAGUUAUUAGUAUUCAGGAGCAUUUUGGUUAUUUUUUUCCCAGCGUGAGGAUUUAGAAUGUCUGUUGCUGUCUUUCUAACGGAACACUUGUAUAUCCCUCUAGGACUCGCUCCUUUCCCAUCUAAUCCGCUCGCCCCGCAGACAUUCGGUGAGAUGAGGUGCAAUAAGUUGGGCCGCUUUCUGCAUUUUGCUUCUUAAAAUUCUUGCCUUGUUUGGGUUCAAAGUUAGGUCUCAGUUCCUCCCGAGAGGCCCUUUGGAUUCUCCAAGUUUUGACAGAUCUGACAGAAGCGGGAUAUGUAAAGACACAAGAGGCCCCAGAACACAUCCAUUCUCCUGUGCAUCAAAGGCCUCUACACUAUCGCAGAAAGGACUUAAGGCAUCUGAUGCCUAUGCCCAGGAAAGAGUCGAGAUAGGAGUGCCUAUGCUUCAAGAGAAGUUGUUGUGGGUCCAGAAGAUAAAGGAUACAAAGUGUUGCUUCUUAAUUCCACAGCUAGCAUCCAAGCAGGGGACUAAUGAGUUCUCCAUAUAGCUUCUACCUUUCUUAUCAGAUAGAGGAAUAUGACAAGAGUUAUAUCAGGAAAUAUAAGCACAGAAAGACUCUAAUUGCAGCAACAAGAAUAAAAAUCAUCAAGUAAUGAACUUCUUAAGAAAAGUGUAAGACUGACUUAUAGAAUAUCAGCUUAAAAAUAGCUGCACAGGGCCUGGGGAGAUGGCUCAGUCAGUGAAGAGUCUGGACAAGCAUGAGGACCUUGACUUCAGAUUUGCAGCACCACACGAAACACUGUGGGCAGAGGGCAGGAGCAGCGGCUCAACCAUUGAAAGCAUUGGCUACUCUUCCAGAAGACCUAGACUUGAUUCCCAGCUCCCGCACAGCGGCUCAAACCUUAAACUCCAAUUCCAGGAGAUCCAGUUUCCCCCUUCUGGCCUCUGUGAGCACCACAUGCAUGAGGUACCCAGACAUACAUGAAAUCAAAGUGGACAUAUGUAUAAAAUAAAAAUAAAUAAAUCUUCAAGUACAGCUUGUCUGUAACAUGAAUGCGGGAAAAUAGGCGGCUCCCUGGAGUUCAUUGGUCAGCUGGCCUAGCCAAAUGGGUGAACUCGAAGUUCAGAGAGAGAUGUUAUCUCAAAAAAAGAGAGAGAGACAGAGAGCAAUAGAAGAAGAAAUCCAGUGUUGACUUCUGCCUUCCACAGCAUAUGCACACACAUACAUCACAUACAUGCACACACACACACACGAGGACCCACAGUUUUGAACCCAUUCCAUCUUGAUUAAAGGUCAGAGAGUUCAAACCUAUUCUUGCUGCUCAAGGACGAACAAUGGUGUAGCUACUGGAUGCCUUGCUCCUCAAAGGCCAGACAGAAGGAUGUUUGACUUAGGGUGAAAUUAAUAAGUUUUUUGAGAUAUAAGGAAGUAAUUACGUUUGCUUAUUCUUUGUAUCAUGGAAGUUUGUGCCCUCCCCUUUAGAUUUUUUUUUUUUAACAGUAUUCACUGGAAGUCCUUAUCUUAAGUCACUGGAAGACUCUUCUAUCUCUUGUCUAUUUCUUUUCUCAAUUCACAUUCUCUUUUUCAGGAACGUACAGACAAGUCAGGCCGGACCCGACAGACACACACACGCAACUCUACAAAGGUUCCCUUUUUCCCUCAUAAAUAUGGAGGGACACAUGAUCCACAAAGUCAUGCAUCCUAUGGUUGCUGUGACGAUCCAUGAAGGAGGGCAGACAAGACAAUAAUCUGUGCAGUUUUGAAGCUCAAGGUUCCUGUUCACAGGAAGGAUUCUAUCUUUUGUACCAGGGUCAUGCCACCUGGGCAUGGCAGAAGCCACUCACUUCCGCCUGUGUGAGAAAAGCAAGAUGAUGUCUCCGCAUUUACGUGUGUCCUGGCUACUUUUCAGAGAUCCCAUUCCCUUUCCCAAAGUCAGACCCAGCCAGCCAGACCCGUCGUGCAAAGCAUCAUGGGCAACUUUGCCCGGCUCACAUUUUCCUCUGUCUUUCAAUUCUUUAUGAUGCGAAAAUUACUGUUAACUUUUGGACUGUACAAAACCAGGCAGCUGGCGUGGAUUUGGUACAUAUGUCACGGUUCGCUGUCCCCUGGUGCAGACAGUGAGGCAUUAUUGUGAGUCCUUAUGUUUAUCUGAACGGUAAGGAAGGAGAAAUCAUAGCAGAUGGUGGAUAUCAGGAAACCCCAAGGAGCCCCUUGCUCCAUCUGAGCCACGCCAGCGGCCCUGUGAUCCUGGUGUAGGUAGGCUUGCUGUUCCUCACCGAGUCUGGGAGACAAAAAUAUGCUAAUCUACCAAAUUAUUAUUACAAGUAGGAUCAAAGCUGAGUGGGGCCUCACAGACAUGU
Alexandromys fortis (reed vole) is the source of this 4992-nucleotide long non-coding RNA. RefSeq lists it as uncharacterized. NCBI's taxonomy places the organism in Eukaryota, Metazoa, Chordata, Mammalia, Rodentia, Cricetidae. The transcript is spliced from 4 exons. The record is from RefSeq and is a predicted model, not a curated record.